CAAGUCGAACGGCAGCACGGAGAGCUUGCUCUCUGGUGGCGAGUGGCGAACGGGUGAGUAAUAUAUCGGAACGUAUCCAAUAAUGGGGGAUAACGAGUCGAAAGAUUCGCUAAUACCGCAUACGCCCUACGGGGGAAAGCAGGGGAUCGUAAGACCUUGCGUUAAUGGAGCGGCCGAUAUCUGAUUAGCUUGUUGGUGAGGUAAAGGCUCACCAAGGCGACGAUCAGUAGCUGGUUUGAGAGAACGACCAGCCACACUGGAACUGAGACACGGUCCAGACUCCUACGGGAGGCAGCAGUGGGGAAUUUUGGACAAUGGGGGCAACCCUGAUCCAGCCAUUCCGCGUGAGUGAAGAAGGCCUUCGGGUUGUAAAGCUCUUUCGCAAGGGAAGAAAACUUAUGAUCGAAUAAAUCAUGAGGUUGACGGUACCUUGAUAGGAAGCACCGGCUAACUACGUGCCAGCAGCCGCGGUAAUACGUAGGGUGCGAGCGUUAAUCGGAAUUACUGGGCGUAAAGCGUGCGCAGGCGGUUUUGUAAGUCGGAUGUGAAAUCCCCGGGCUCAACCUGGGAACUGCGUUCGAAACUGCAAGGCUAGAGUGUGUCAGAGGGGGGUAGAAUUCCACGUGUAGCAGUGAAAUGCGUAGAGAUGUGGAGGAAUACCAAUGGCGAAGGCAGCCCCCUGGGAUAACACUGACGCUCAUGCACGAAAGCGUGGGGAGCAAACAGGAUUAGAUACCCUGGUAGUCCACGCCCUAAACGAUGUCAACUAGUUGUUGGUAGAGUAAAAUCUAUGAGUAACGUAGCUAACGCGUGAAGUUGACCGCCUGGGGAGUACGGUCGCAAGAUUAAAACUCAAAGGAAUUGACGG
Molecule: ribosomal RNA, 868 nt
Filed under: uncultured bacterium
Lineage: Bacteria
Description: bacterial SSU rRNA
Rfam family: Bacterial small subunit ribosomal RNA
Source: RNAcentral